Molecule: ribosomal RNA, 440 nt
Filed under: uncultured bacterium
Lineage: Bacteria
Description: partial 16S ribosomal RNA
Rfam family: Bacterial small subunit ribosomal RNA
Source: RNAcentral
CCUACGGGAGGCUGCAGUGGGGAAUAUUGGACAAUGGGCGAAAGCCUGAUCCAGCAAUGCCGCGUGAGUGAUGAAGGCCUUCGGGUUGUAAAGCUCUUUUACCCGGGAUGAUAAUGACAGUACCGGGAGAAUAAGCUCCGGCUAACUCCGUGCCAGCAGCCGCGGUAAUACGGAGGGAGCUAGCGUUGUUCGGAAUCACUGGGCGUAAAGCGCACGUAGGCGGAUACUCAAGUCGGGGGUGAAAGCCCGGGGCUCAACCCCGGGACUGCCCUUGAAACUGGGUAGCUAGAAUCUUGGAGAGGCGAGUGGAAUUCCGAGUGUAGAGGUGAAAUUCGUAGAUAUUCGGAAGAACACCAGUGGCGAAGGCGACUCGCUGGACAAGUAUUGACGCUGAGGUGCGAAAGCGUGGGGAGCAAACAGGAUUAGAUACCCCAGUAGUC